RNAcentral lists this ribosomal RNA (253 nucleotides) under uncultured bacterium. Its description in RNAcentral is "partial 16S ribosomal RNA". It matches the Rfam family "Bacterial small subunit ribosomal RNA", at positions 524 to 776 of the family's 1533-position model. The record is from RNAcentral.
UACAGAGGUCCCAAGCGUUGUUCGGAUUCACUGGGCGUAAAGGGUGCGUAGGUGGUGAGGUAAGUCGGAUGUGAAAUCUCCGAGCUCAACUCGGAAAUGGCAUUGGAAACUACCUUGCUCGAGGGUUGGAGGGGGGACUGGAAUGCUUGGUGUAGCAGUGAAAUGCGUAGAUAUCAAGAGGAACACCAGUGGCGAAGGCGAGUCCCUGGACAACUUCUGACGCUGAGGCACGAAAGCUAGGGGAGCAAACAGG